RNAcentral lists this unclassified non-coding RNA (356 nucleotides) under soil metagenome. RNAcentral describes it as "partial contains 5.8S ribosomal RNA, internal transcribed spacer 2, and large subunit ribosomal RNA". The stretch from base 1 to 121 matches the Rfam family "5.8S ribosomal RNA", at positions 35 to 154 of the family's 154-position model. The record is from RNAcentral.
GAUGAAGAACGCAGCGAAAUGCGAUAAGUAAUGCGAAUUGCAGAAUUUCCGUGAGUCAUCGAAUCUUUGAACGCACAUUGCGCCCACUGGUAUUCCGGUGGGCAUGCCUGUUCGAGCGUCAUUAAGUCCACUUAAGCCCUGCUUAGUGUUGGGAGACUGCUCCAGCGGUGCUACCCUGUAGCUACCCUGCAGCUCCUCAAAGACAGCGGCGGAGUUGUGGUAUCCUCUGAGCUUAGUAACUUGUUCUAGCUUUCGAGUACACCACUUCCCCUGCCGUAAAACCCUUAAUUUUUAAUGGUUGACCUCGGAUCAGGUAGGAAUACCCGCUGAACUUAAGCAUAUCAAUAAGCGGAGGA